GUUGCUGAUCAUGAAGUUGAGGCCAUCGUUGUUAAACCUCCUCCAUUAAAACGGAAGAGUGAUGCAGCAUAUAAUGAAGCUGAGUCCAAUGAGUGGAACACUAGUGCUGGCUUCACAGAAGUAGAUAACAGUCCCCUCCAGACACCUGUGUCUGGAAAAGGUGGAAAGGCACCCAAAACAUCUAGGCUUUCAAAGAGCAGUAAAUCUGGAUCCCAGACCGCUUUGAAUCUUGGUUCUCCUGGAAAUAAUCUUACUCCAAC
RNAcentral lists this unclassified non-coding RNA (260 nucleotides) under Hevea brasiliensis (rubber tree). Lineage: Eukaryota; Viridiplantae; Streptophyta; Magnoliopsida; Malpighiales; Euphorbiaceae. The record is from RNAcentral.